ACCUAAUGUCACAUAUGCAGUCAAAAACUUAGCUGCACACUAAAGAGAGCAGUUACCUUGUAUACAGGUAAGUUUUCUAACAUUCCCAAUAUAAAAUAAAUGACAUGUUAUAUCGUAUCUCUGUUGUGCCUAGAUUCUUAAUUUCCACAAGUCUUGACUUACUGAAAUAGAAUGAGAGUCAAAUUUUAGGGGGUGAAGUCUGAAAGCUGCAUAGUGUCCAAUAGCCUGUUACAGAGAAGAAUGAUUAUUCAACGUCUCUGCUCCUUAUUGGCUCUGACUUUCACAUAAGAGACCUAAUGCUCUCCUACAGGAACAAAUUUUAUGGAAAAUACCAUGAAUAACUUAGGUCGUUCACACCUUCCUCUUUAUUCAUUAGGAACUUGUAUCCCAGUUUACCUUCUUAUUCUAAAGGAAAAAGCAAAUUUUCAUGGAUAGAGAGAGAAAAGACCCUGGCUUUGACCUCCUGAAAACGGAGUUUUUUCAUAGUAGAACUAUGUUUCAUUGUCUCCCAUUAUUCUUGAAGUGAUUUUUUUAAGAUUUAAGAUAGACUAAAUGCUUCAAAAAAAGAUCUUACCCAAGUAGUGAAUUCAGAUAUUAUUCAGAUUUUGAGCUGUACUUGAAAACUUUCAUAAAUUUCCUGAAGCAAAAUGGGCUUUCCCAAGAAGAACUAUAUUUAUAAAAAUAAUAAAUGAUUUUUUUAAAAAAAUCAGGAAUUUCUACUCAUGUUUCGUGCAUUUUUGCAUUCUCCUUACAAACAUAUUUAACACAGUAGUAGUUAUUGACCGCGAUUUCUAAAAAUGAGCUCAAUGGUUUAUUUCUUAUUGUAUUGGUGAAAUCCACAUGUAAUGGUUUCUGCCUGAGAUUCUUGUAUUUUCAUACACACAAAAAGGUAUUUUGUACUUUUCAUAUUAAGCAAAGUGGUCUACUUAAUCCUGGGACGUUUUCAGAAAUUAUAACAGAUGCAUUCAACGUAAACAUAAAUUCUGUAGGACUCAAACACUUCACAAACAUGUUGAAAAAAUGCUAAAAAAUACUAGAAAAAGUAUGCCUUUUCUAAAAAAAACUUUUGAAAUAUUGUGAAAUGUGAAUCAGAUAUGCAUUUUCCUCUAUGUAAGAUUCUGUGCCGUAUUAGGAACUCUAUCUUCAUGCCAAUGAAGAUUUGUUCUAUAAUUUUUUUUUUAUUUUUUUAUUUAUUUUUUUUGAAAAGCAAAUUUCUGUCUUUCUAAAAUAUUUUAAUACAAUAAGUGCUUGGAGAGACAACAUCAUGUAAUUUUUGUACGCAAAGAUAGGGAGAUUCCAUAUUUGUCUGGUCAGAUCUUAGUUCCACUUGAGCUCCUGAUUUUGUACCUCACUAAGACUACAAGGUUCUUAAGGUUGUGGGUUCCCCCCUCCCACAGAGGAAAUCACUUAAGCUCAAGCUAAACUUUGUUUUCUCGUUUUCAUCUUUUUUCCAUGCAUGUUCCUCAUCUGAGUUUUAGAAUCAUUUCAAUUUGGGAUUAUUUAUGUGCAUCUGCUUCAAGAAGAUAAGAGAGGAGCUCACAAUGUUCACCUAGAACCACGCUGAUGUGGUUCUAACCCUCCUUCUGUCAUACCCAUUGAGUAAAAUUUGGCCUCGGUGCAAUUUACUCAUCUACACAAAGACCAAGGCAAGAGAAGAGAGGUGAUAGCUAUUAUGGUCUUUGUGGAAGUCACAGUAAAUAGCAACAUAUUUGCCAUUUAUAUUUGAGGUACACAUCAGUCACAAACCAAGAACACAACAUCAAGUAAGUGAAAAAGAUCCAUAGUAGUAUUCAGGACAAGAGAAGCACAUUUGAAUUACAGCUAGUCUGCAUAAAAAUAGAGAAAAGCAAAACUAGUAGAAUUCAAUUAGUCUAUUGUGUGAAUUAAAAUUGCCUUGAGAAAACUAUAACUAUAAACUGAAACUAUAAUUUAGCAAAAUUAAUAUUCAUGUAAUCCUGCCAUCCUUUAUGAAAUGCUGAAAUUACUAUUGUUUGAGAAAAUAAAAUGUUAAUCAAUAUCACACCUGUGAAAACUGUACUACUCCCUACUCCCACAUGUAAGAUCAGCCAAAGGCAGCACCUAAAUCUUAAUCCUAGAACAAAAAAAGCAAGAGCUCUGAGGGAACCUGGAGUGGUUGCCUAGGUAACAACAACAAUCUGUGAAUACUGCUGUUAACAGUCAAGGUUCACACAGGCAGUACAACUCUGCAAAGGGAAAAUUCUGAGAAUUUGAAUCUCUACUGAGAAUUCUCACACAACAGACUUUUUGAAAUACUACGUCAUUACUAACAGGUGCGUUUCAACAGGCAGCAAAAACUGCAGCGCUCUAGAUAAACUGAGCUAGCCAUCACACCUUGCGCACAAAUUUUGCAUUGUAAUGAGUGGCUGAUUUUAUAACCCCAUCUUUCACAUCCACCAGUAAAUAAGUACUGAUGAGAGUCUCACAUCGAUACAUUUAUUGUAAGUAUCAAACCUAUUGCACAGAACACAUAAGAAAAUACUGGGAGCAGGUAGUAAUGUUCACUUGUUGUAACAGGUGGAUGGGAUGCGGUACUGACAAAACAUAAUCAAAACAUGUAAUUUUUUCUUAAAAAAAAAAAAAAAAUCAUGCACAUCAUAGUUUUCUGCAGAACAAUUAGGAAUAUCAGGGAACAGUGACACAUUAUUACCUUUUCAGCUCAGAUGUCCUUGGGUUUUGUUUUAAUCAAUGAAUAGUUUUGCUUGUCAAAGGCAAAUUGAAAGCUUGUGAACAAAAAUUGAAUUUGCAAAUUAUCUAACUGCAGCAUCCAAGAGUCAACACUGAAGGAUGAACUUAACAAGUUACCCAAUCAACGUAGCAGAAAGCGUUGUGUGUUUUUUUUUCUUUUCCUCUCCAAGCUGUAUACCGUAUGCUGGACAGCAUUACAGAAAUUUGAUAAACUGAAAUCAUUACUCGCAUCUUUCCUAUCAUCUUUGGCAGUUAGGUAUUUCAGAUCACGGAUAUCAGUACCUAAAGGAAUAUUUAUAUUUUGACUCUAUAGGCAAUGAAGACCUGUGUAACGUUACAGCUGCAGUGAGCGGUCCCUGAGCAGCAGGGACACAUGUUAUCUUGGCUGUGCAGGAGGAGAGGCCAUUAUGAUAAGGCACAAUCAGCCCUGCCAGCCUCCCUCACAUGUUUACUGUCAUCCUUCUGAGUUUCAUCUCUUCCUAGAAUGUCUGUCACAUUGAGAUGGGCAUUCAGCAAAACUGAGAUCUGAACAAAGCAACAGUCAUAGAAACGUACCACCAAUUCUACAUCUAGAUCGAAAACACAAGGCCAUAAUUUUCAGAGCUCCCACCAGCAGCUGUGCUGACGAGCCCUGGGCUGUGCUGCCCAGACGCAGGUGGCAUUCGGCUGCGUGAAGCUGGGAGCGCUCUCGGGUGGGUGAGCUCCUUCCAGCCCAAGCUCUUCGGGCAUCCCAGCCUCCAUCAGAUGUCUCAGGGAGGCUUACUGCCAUUCGCCCACUGUCUUUUCCGGACAAAAUCAAAGUUUUAGGCUCUGUUGAUAAGGUUUCCUCCCUCACAAAGCAGCUGCCUCCUUCACAGCAGAGAAAUUCUCCUCAGGAAGGUCACGUCUGCUCACAGCUGCCACGCUGGCUGAGGAUCAGAUUUUGUGCAGAGCUUUGUUUUCAUCGCUCUAAAACCUUUUCAUACUUUCCUCUCGUGAGCUCCUUUUUUUUUUUCUAAGAAACUUCUCUAAAUUGAAACUGCAGUGAUUUUUUUUCCUCCCUUCACGGUUUACCAGCUUCACUCCGCAGCAAACAGCACCAUUUUCUGCACCUGACUGCCCCCGUGCGGCCGCUGUAAGAACAAAUGGCGCGCGGGCGGGAAGUGCUGCACCGGAGGGGCGUUAGGCGGAGCGGGAGGCGGCGGCGGCGGCGGGGGAGAUGGUGGGCCGGUGUCUGAGCAGCUCCAGCAAAGUUCCCAUAAAUACUGUAACAGGAGAGCACUCUUAGUAGAUGUUACCUUUUGGAAGGCCUGGCAUCUGACACCCUCCUAUUUUUCUACCUCAACAGGGAAAGCUGAAGUGGAUUGGGAGUCACAAGACAGUGGGUUUUUUUUCCCUGGACACUUUGCCUACAGCAUUAGACUGUGUAGAACCAAGGAAUAUCCUGAGUUGGAUGAGAUCCACAAAGGACCACCCAAAAUUCAAACCAUGCAUCUAAGAGCAGUGUUGGAACACUCCUUGAACUCUGGCAGCUCGGGUUGUGACCACUGCCCUGGGGAGCUUGUUCCAGUGCCAGACCACCUAAGGUGAAGAACCUUUCCCUUAUUUGAUCUGACCUUCCCCUGACAAGAUACCACUGAUAUCUGCUCUCAUCAUCGGCUUAUACCGCUUCAAGAUUCCCUAAUGUUUUCACAUUACAGUUAAAAUCCUUUAAGUUAUCCUGAUGUCCAUCAGUUGUGUGAAAAAAGUUUAUUAAUUUUGUUUUGUUUUGUUUUUACAGAGCACAUUAUUUACUUUCAGUAGUUACUUUUCAGUGAACUAUUGACAUGAUGCAAAUUGCAAAGAGACUGGAUUGGUGUCUUUUCCUUCAAGAUAUGUAAAACACAAUACCAAGAUAGAUGUUCUAGACAGAUACUUGAGGUAAUUAUAAUUGCACUAUCUGAGUGCUAAGAAAUAGCAGUUAUGAAUCCCACAAACACUAGCAGAAUUGUCUCUAGAAAGUAAGCACAUGAAACUGCAUUUAGUUUCCCACCUUCAUGAUCUUCAUGUCACUAUGUCUGGUUGAUAGAUUAUGCUGUCUCGCUGGCUAUCUGCCUGGAGGAAGGAGAAACAAUUCCCCUUGGACUGAGCUUCAGUACUUCUCUUUACAUUGGCUGUCAUGUGGAGUCGAGAACAGACAGUUAUUACCAUCUGCCUAAAAGAUGGCCUGGAACUUGUAUGUGUGUUUGUGCAUGUCAACAGUUUUCCCAUACAUGUGCCUAAAUUUAGUCACUGCAUUCAUUACUGGGCUUUCAAAUAUGUGACCAGAUUUUCAGAAGUACUGACCACUCAGAUAUCUGGUGAUUUUAGUGCAAGCUGUGAUUAUUCAGAAUCUGAACAAAAUCACCCAGUGCAGUUUUCAUUUUAAGUCAAUAGAAAGAUGGGUGUUAAUUUCAUAGGUACUGGGUUGGACUGUAGUCUUUGGCAACUAGUCUGACACUCUCAGCCAGGCACUUGCUUGGUAAUCGUGUGAGUGAGUCUGAUAGUCACAUGAAAACUGCGGUGUCACGUAAUCAAAAAAAGAAUCACAGAACUCCAACUGCCGUUCCUUUAUUGUAUCCUUUAUUUUAUCUGUCUUAUCAUUUAUUUGAAAAUCUUGGGUGUCAUAGCAGUUAACAUCCUUUAAAAAUGAACCUGUCAGAGAAAUUUUCUUUUCCUUCUUCACAAAUAGGAGAAAUCCUACAUCUAUCUGUUAUUACUACAUAUAAGAUCCAGAAUAUUUCAUUUCUUGGGUGGGCAUGUUGUUACAGCUAUCCAUGGAUAGUUGUCUUUAUAACUAAGGCUUAUUAUUAGGAAAACACACUGAAAAGGUCUAAUGUUCAGUAAGAACUUCUGAUUUUCAUUUCCUGCCCUAAUACACUUUGGAAGACACAUAAAAUACAAGGUGACUGAAUUCCUUAUAAAUUAUGUCAUACAGAAACUUUACAUUUCUGUGAAGAGCAAGUUACUCACCUCUGAGCUUCACAGCUCACUUUUAGCCCCUGAGAGUCAGUAGUGCUAGAAUGGACAGACUAUAACUGGUUCACUAAUUGGACUUCAUAUACUGGCUUCCAGCCGUAGAAGUUCCAGGCCUGGGGAAAGAACAUUUUAGUCUACCUUCUAGACACUGCUAUGUAGCCUCUUAGCUGUUCUAAUGUAUGCCAGAGCCUGACAGUAGGGGAUUAAAAAUUUUUCUCUGCUCUGUCCUCUUUUUUUGCCUAAGCACAGCUUCUGUAUACUAAGGCACAGUAUACAGCCUAUUAUACUGCCUUUAACCUUGAAAAUUUUUAUUGCUAUUUUAGUUCUGUUUAGAAAGGCUUUCUUUCUGCCUUGAAAAGUUGAACUCAAGGGAACAAAGGUAGCUUGGUUUUCAGUUGGAAGGCUACAAAAGCAGGUCCACGGUUUUGAUCCUCUGUAGCCCUUUUUUCUUUUUUUGGAAACAAGAUAUAAAGAUUUUGCUGUUCAGAGUCUGGAAUGAUCUGCAGAGCUUUCUUUGCCAGCUGCAGUAAUUCUUAGACACUUAGUCAAUCCUUCCAGAUGUAAAUUCUGUGGCAAUCUAAUUUAAAUCAAGUAGAAACACACUUAGUUCACUAGUACUCGCAAUACUGUUACAAUUCAAAAACAACAUCAAUCUUGCCAAAGAGAGAAAAUGACUGGCAGCUUUCCCUGGUCAAAAUUAGAGGAAUAGCUGUGCAACAGGCAAAGCUGAGAGCACAAGGCAUUUUUCAGCCUCUAGUGGCAUUUUGGCACUUUUCCCUGAUGUAUACUGAAGACAGUACACGCAUCAGUAUACGCGUUGCCUCUUCUACAUUUAAAAGUAUUCCAUUUGCCUUCUUUAUUUAUCUUUUUUCUUUGUUUGUUUUCUGAUUUAAACUACUUCCUGUGAGUUAAACUGAAGCUACAAGAGCUGUCAGAAUUUCAUUAAAUCCCUUCCAAACAUAAACACUGUUAAAGUCCCCUUCCCUACCUCAACACAUACUAUUACUUUGGUUUUGGUUUUACAAUAAGAUGGUGGAGAAAAAUAUUUGGUGAUAAGGGUAAUCACUACAUUGUAGAAUUGCAAUAAACUGUUUUUACUCCUCAGUGAGUCAUGAAAACAAAUCAUGAUUUUUCAUUCAUGAGGCACCUCGUGGCUUAGUAAAUUCUCUUGCUGGUGAUCCCUUUGCUAUGUGCAAGCUGUAUUUUGAUGACAGUAACUAAAGAAGUACUCAAUAUGACGUGUAAUGUUUGUAAGAUGUUCUAGGUUGCUAUGAAUUCAAGCAGCCUCCUUGUUAAAUACAUUUUGUUGCUUCUUCAACUCGUGUUGGCUAAUUUGUAUGUCUCAUGUUACCUUAUUACUCGACAACAGACAUAUUCUAACAUUUAAGUAUACUGUUAAAAACUAGUAAUUAUAAGUAUGCUGCCACUUGGCCUCAUGUAAUUAUCAUCUGUUUUGUUUUCCAGCCAUAGUACAUUUCAUGUCUAUACAUCCAAAUAUUCCAUUGGAGUACAAAAUGAAUACAUAGGAAGCAGACAGGUUAAGACACUGCUUAAUUCUAGUUUCCACAUGGAACUGCUUAUCACAAAGUACUCUUCAUAUCAAUACUGUCUGAGAUCAGGCCUGCCUACCUUUUCUGACAGAUAUUCUUGGUUAUGGAGAGCCUGUUAAUAAUGAUUGAACUACAUGACAUUUCUCUGGAAUUAAUGAUUGACCAGAAGACUCCAGUGGCUCAGUGCUUGGCAGAGGACCAUUCUCUCCAGCAGGCAGUCUUUCCUUAGGAAAUACUCAGAGGUUGCAUGAAGAUUAGUAUUAUUAUUUACAAAAUGAAAUAGUGAAUUUUAAGCAUGAUCAUUGCAAUUGCUCUGUGUUUUAAUUGUUCAGUAUUCUUCAGAUUAAUCUCCACCUCAGUGUUCAGGUUAACAUGUGUUCUCUUUCUUAAUUUUACUUUUUCAAAAUCACUUAUUUACAUAAAAGCUUGCGAGAAUCAGUUCUAA
This is a long non-coding RNA of Lagopus muta (rock ptarmigan), 7677 nucleotides long. RefSeq lists it as uncharacterized. The record is from RefSeq and is a predicted model, not a curated record. The transcript is spliced from 4 exons. NCBI's taxonomy places the organism in Eukaryota, Metazoa, Chordata, Aves, Galliformes, Phasianidae.